UCAAAUUUGACUAAAACUGAGCCCAAUCAGAUUGGGCUAAGUUCGGACGAACCCAAACUAUAAAUUGGGUUAAAUCCGAACCAAAUUAAGCCCAAUUGAGUUGGGUCUGAACCUAAUUAAGCUGAGUUAGUCUCAGCAGACCCAAAUUGAAUAUGAAUCAAGCCCAAAUCAAAACCAGUUUAACUAAAUUAAGACCAAAUUGACCCGAUAGGGCUAGAUUCAAUCAGGAACCGAGCCCAAUUCUUUAAUUAAAGACCCAAUUGACCUACGUGAACCCAAUCUGGUUCUAAAUCGAGGCCAAGGGCUCUAAAUUAAAUAAAUUGGACUUGAGAUCCAAGCAAGUAAAUUCAUGUUAUGAUAAAUUAGAAAACUAUGAAAUAAAUAGAGAAUAAUGUGACCCCUAUGUGAUUUAUUUAGGUGAUCAAGGAUUUGUCAUCCGGACGUAAGAAAUUGGAAAGCAUAUUGCGGUAAGUAACCUUGGCACUGAUCUUAAAGUUUUUAAAUUACUGUUUAUUCAUCAUUAUGAAAAUGUAUUGCUUAUGAUAUAUUUUUCUCAAAACUAGGAUCAAGUAUAUGAUUGCAUGUAAUUCAUGAAUUUGAUUAAAGAGCAUCCUUCAUGAAUAUUUGAUAGUGUAUGAGUUAUGAAAUUAUGAUUAUG
RNAcentral lists this long non-coding RNA (658 nucleotides) under Phoenix dactylifera (date palm). RNAcentral's name for it is "long non-coding RNA (PDAC_LNC018249)". Lineage: Eukaryota; Viridiplantae; Streptophyta; Magnoliopsida; Arecales; Arecaceae. The record is from RNAcentral.